GUAGGAAAGUAAAGAAAUUUCGAUUCCGUCAGUAGCGGCGAGCGAACGCGGAAGAGCCCAAACCUGGAUGCUUGCAUCCAGGGGUUGUAGGACUGAUGUUGAGUUACAAAGGUAUAAGAUAGCAGAAACAGUUGGGAAGCUGUUCCAAAGAGGGUGACAGGCCCGUAUGCGAAAUCUUGUACUCUCUAAUCAGGAUCCUGAGUACGGCCCAGCACGUGAAAUUGGGUCGGAAUCUGGGAGGACCAUCUCCCAAGGCUAAAUACUAACUAGUGACCGAUAGCGAACAAGUACCGUGAGGGAAAGGUGAAAAGAACCCCGGAAGGGGAGUGAAAUAGUUCUUGAAACCGUGUGCUUACAAGAAGUUCGAGGCCGUUAAUGGCUGAGAGCGUGCUUUUUGUAGAAUGAACCGGAGAGUUACGAUUGCGUGCAAGGUUAAGGUGCAAAGACUGGAGCCGUAGCGAAAGCGAGUCUUAAUAGGGCGAAUCAGUACGUAGUUGUAGACCCGAAACCGAGUGACCUAUCCAUGGUCAGGUUGAAGGUGGGGUAAUACCUACUGGAGGACCGAACAAGUGGGUGUUAAAAAACCCUUUGAUGAACUGUGGAUAGCGGUGAAAUUCCAAUCGAACUCGGAGAUAGCUGGUUCUAUCCGAAAUACAUUUAGGUGUAGCCUUGCAAUUAGCUUACUGGAGGUAGAGCACUAUUUGGUCUAGGGGCCCUUCAAGGGUUACCAAAAUCAGAUAAACUCCGAAUGCCAGCUAAGUAUGUGCAGGAGUCAGACGGUGAGUGAUAAGAUCCAUCGUCAAAAGGGGAACAGCCCAGAUCACCAGUUAAGGUCCCUAAAUAUAUGCUAAGUGGAAAACGUUGUGAAGGUGCAUAG
RNAcentral lists this ribosomal RNA (877 nucleotides) under Oenococcus oeni. RNAcentral's name for it is "bacterial LSU rRNA". It matches the Rfam family "Bacterial large subunit ribosomal RNA", at positions 212 to 1088 of the family's 2925-position model. The record is from RNAcentral. Lineage: Bacteria; Bacillati; Bacillota; Bacilli; Lactobacillales; Lactobacillaceae.